Long non-coding RNA from Numida meleagris (helmeted guineafowl), 426 nucleotides. RefSeq lists it as uncharacterized. Lineage: Eukaryota; Metazoa; Chordata; Aves; Galliformes; Numididae. The transcript has 2 exons. The record is from RefSeq and is a predicted model, not a curated record.
GUAGGAGUCGGAACAGGCAACAGCCGACGGGACGUGGGCCUUCAUCCACCGCAGCGUUAGACAACAGAGAAAUAACGCUGUCAUCAGAUGUGCAGGUGUAUUGCUGAUGCGUAUCACUUACUGUGGAGAUUCUGUGAGCUGCUUAAUUGGGUCUGCCACAAUGCCCCCAAGGAACAGGGCAACCUCAGCAGAUUUCUGGACUCACCCUGAAGUCAAGAUGUGUAACACCUUUCUUUCAGUUUCUUCUUCCAGAGAAGAAAAUGGAAAAGCUAGGGCUAGUAUUAUUUUUAUUUAUUUAUUCAUUUUUAGAAGAGAGCUAUAAAUGAUUAGUUCAUUAUUUAGAGAUAAAACACAUGUAUGCUACUCUCAGGCUACAGGCUCAAAAUAAAGGAAAACUGUGUUAAGAACUGUUUGCUGUUUCCUAAA